RNAcentral lists this ribosomal RNA (283 nucleotides) under uncultured bacterium. RNAcentral describes it as "partial 16S ribosomal RNA". It matches the Rfam family "Bacterial small subunit ribosomal RNA", at positions 524 to 810 of the family's 1533-position model. The record is from RNAcentral.
UACGUAGGUGGCAAGCGUUGUCCGGAAUUAUUGGGCGUAAAGCGCGCGCAGGCGGCCUCUUAAGUCUGAUGUGAAAGCCCCCGGCUCAACCGGGGAGGGCCAUUGGAAACUGGGAGGCUUGAGUAUAGGAGAGAAGAGUGGAAUUCCACGUGUAGCGGUGAAAUGCGUAGAGAUGUGGAGGAACACCAGUGGCGAAGGCGACUCUUUGGCCUAUAACUGACGCUGAGGCGCGAAAGCGUGGGGAGCAAACAGGAUUGAGAACCAGUACCGGACGUAAGACCAA